UCUCGGAAGGAUCAUUACUGAGAGGUCUAAAAAACCACUAGUUGGGGGUCUCUUCCCCUCUAGUAGUUCCUCACAGUUUUGUGCAAAGUCGGGUCAACUUGGUUGGCUCUGCCUUGUGCUGUAGAUCUGGUUGUUGGCAUAAAAACCCUCCUUUUAGGAGACUUGUGCCACUACUAAGAUCUAGGCUGCUUGAAAAGAGACGUAUGGACCCUUCUUUCAGGAAACCUAUGUCUCGAGUCAAAGCAAGCAAGGCAAGCCUUUGGGGCUCUAGUACUAACUAUCCCCAAAGGUGUUUAUUCUUCUCGUGUAAACCAUGAUGUACGAAAAAGUUAGUUGUUAACUUAAAAACAACUCUUGGCAAUGGAUCUCUUGGUUCUCCCAUCAAUGAAGAGCGUAGCAAAGUGCGAUAAUUAUUGCGACUUGCAUUCAUAGCGAAUCAUCGAGUUCUCGAACGCAUCUUGCGCCUAGUAGUCAAUCUACUAGGCACAGUUGUUUCAGUAUCUGCAACUACCAAUCAGUUCAACUUGGUUCUUUGAACCUAACCGAGCUGGAAAUGGGCUUGUGUUGAUGGCAUUCAGUUGCUGUCAUGGCCUUAAAUACAUUUAAUCCUAGGCAAUUGGCUUUAGUCAUUUGCCGGAUGUAGACUCUAGAGUGCCUGAGGAGCAACGACUUGGUUAGUGAGUUCAUAAUUCCAAGUCAAUCAGCUCUCUUCUUGAACUAGGUCUUAAUCUUUACGGACUAGCGAGAGGAUCUAACUUGGGUCUUCUCUUAAACAAACUCACAUCUAGAUCUGAAAUCAACUGAGAUCACCCGCUGAACUUACGCAUAUAAUA
Molecule: ribosomal RNA, 833 nt
Filed under: Lichtheimia ramosa
Lineage: Eukaryota; Fungi; Mucoromycota; Mucoromycetes; Mucorales; Lichtheimiaceae
Description: eukaryotic LSU rRNA
Rfam family: 5.8S ribosomal RNA (bases 350-503)
Source: RNAcentral